UGGGCGCAAGCCUGAUCCAGCAAUGCCGCGUGCAGGAAGAAGGCCUUCGGGUUGUAAACUGCUUUUGUACGGAACGAAAAGGUCUGGGUUAAUACCCUGGGCUCAUGACGGUACCGUAAGAAUAAGCACCGGCUAACUACGUGCCAGCAGCCGCGGUAAUACGUAGGGUGCAAGCGUUAAUCGGAAUUACUGGGCGUAAAGCGUGCGCAGGCGGUUGUGUAAGACAGGCGUGAAAUCCCCGGGCUCAACCUGGGAAUGGCGCUUGUGACUGCACAGCUGGAGUGCGGCAGAGGGGGAUGGAAUUCCGCGUGUAGCAGUGAAAUGCGUAGAUAUGCGGAGGAACACCGAUGGCGAAGGCAAUCCCCUGGGCCUGCACUGACGCUCAUGCACGAAAGCGUGGGAGCAAACAGGAUUAGAUACCCUGGUAGUCCACGCCCUAAACGAUGUCAACUGGUUGUUGGGUCUUAGCUGACUCAGUAACGAAGCUAACGCGUGAAGUUGACCGCCUGGGGAGUACGGC
RNAcentral lists this ribosomal RNA (520 nucleotides) under uncultured bacterium. Its description in RNAcentral is "bacterial SSU rRNA". It matches the Rfam family "Bacterial small subunit ribosomal RNA", at positions 372 to 886 of the family's 1533-position model. The record is from RNAcentral.